ACCAGGCAAUAUUAUAGAGGUAAAAUGA
RNAcentral lists this non-coding RNA (28 nucleotides) under Rattus norvegicus (Norway rat). The record is from RNAcentral. Lineage: Eukaryota; Metazoa; Chordata; Mammalia; Rodentia; Muridae.